RNAcentral lists this ribosomal RNA (746 nucleotides) under uncultured Parvimonas sp. RNAcentral describes it as "bacterial SSU rRNA". It matches the Rfam family "Bacterial small subunit ribosomal RNA", at positions 28 to 776 of the family's 1533-position model. Lineage: Bacteria; Bacillati; Bacillota; Tissierellia; Tissierellales; Peptoniphilaceae. The record is from RNAcentral.
GACGAACGCUGGCGGCGUGCUUAACACAUGCAAGUCGAACGUGAUUUUUAUGGAAAGCCCUUCGGGGACGGAAGUAAAAUGAAAGUGGCGAACGGGUGAGUAACACGUGAGCAACCUACCUUACACAGGGGGAUAGCCGUUGGAAACGACGAUUAAUACCGCAUGAGACCACAAAGCCACAUGGCUUAGGGGUAAAAGAUUUAUCGGUGUAAGAUGGGCUCGCGUCUGAUUAGCUAGUUGGAAGGGUAAAGGCCUACCAAGGCAACGAUCAGUAGCCGGUCUGAGAGGAUGAACGGCCACAUUGGAACUGAGACACGGUCCAAACUCCUACGGGAGGCAGCAGUGGGGAAUAUUGCACAAUGGGGGGAACCCUGAUGCAGCGACGCCGCGUGAGCGAAGAAGGUUUUCGAAUCGUAAAGCUCUGUCCUAUGAGAAGAUAAUGACGGUAUCAUAGGAGGAAGCCCCGGCUAAAUACGUGCCAGCAGCCGCGGUAAUACGUAUGGGGCGAGCGUUGUCCGGAAUUAUUGGGCGUAAAGGGUACGUAGGCGGUUUUUUAAGUCAGGUGUGAAAGCGUGAGGCUUAACCUCAUUAAGCACUUGAAACUGGAAGACUUGAGUGAAGGAGAGGAAAGUGGAAUUCCUAGUGUAGCGGUGAAAUGCGUAGAUAUUAGGAGGAAUACCGGUGGCGAAGGCGACUUUCUGGACUUUUACUGACGCUCAGGUACGAAAGCGUGGGGAGCAAACAGG